Molecule: ribosomal RNA, 253 nt
Filed under: uncultured bacterium
Lineage: Bacteria
Description: partial 16S ribosomal RNA
Rfam family: Bacterial small subunit ribosomal RNA
Source: RNAcentral
UACGGAGGGUGCGAGCGUUGUCCGGAAUCACUGGGCGUAAAGGGUGCGUAGGCGGCGCGGUAAGUCGGGUGUGAAAUCUCGGGGCUUAACUCCGAAACUGCAUUCGAUACUGCCGUGCUUGAGGACUGGAGAGGAGACUGGAAUUUACGGUGUAGCGGUGAAAUGCGUAGAUAUCAGGAGGAACACCGGUGGCGAAGGCGGUUCUCUGGGCCUGUACUGACGCUGAGGAGCGAAAGCGUGGGGAGCGAACAGG